GAUGAACGCUGGCGGCGUGCCUAAUACAUGCAAGUCGAGCGAACAGAUGAGGAGCUUGCUCCUCUGACGUUAGCGGCGGACGGGUGAGUAACACGUGGAUAACCUACCUAUAAGACUGGGAUAACUUCGGGAAACCGGAGCUAAUACCGGAUAAUAUAUUGAACCGCAUGGUUCAAUAGUGUAAGACGGUUUUGCUGUCACUUAUAGAUGGAUCCGCGCCGCAUUAGCUAGUUGGUAAGGUAACGGCUUACCAAGGCAACGAUGCGUAGCCGACCUGAGAGGGUGAUCGGCCACACUGGAACUGAGACACGGUCCAGACUCCUACGGGAGGCAGCAGUAGGGAAUCUUCCGCAAUGGGCGAAAGCCUGACGGAGCAACGCCGCGUGAGUGAUGAAGGUCUUCGGAUCGUAAAACUCUGUUAUUAGGGAAGAACAAAUGUGUAAGUAACUAUGCACGUCUUGACGGUACCUAAUCAGAAAGCCACGGCUAACUACGUG
Molecule: ribosomal RNA, 497 nt
Filed under: uncultured bacterium
Lineage: Bacteria
Description: partial 16S ribosomal RNA
Rfam family: Bacterial small subunit ribosomal RNA
Source: RNAcentral